RNAcentral lists this long non-coding RNA (21358 nucleotides) under Hordeum vulgare. Its description in RNAcentral is "long non-coding RNA (HVUL_LNC000072)". The record is from RNAcentral. Lineage: Eukaryota; Viridiplantae; Streptophyta; Magnoliopsida; Poales; Poaceae.
GAACAAGAAAGUAACUUGUUGGAAGUAAUACAUUUUGAUGUCUGCAUUCCAAUAAGUGUUGAGGCACACAGUGGAUAUCGUUAUGUUCUUACUUCACUCACGAUUUGAGAAAAUACAGGAGUAUUUGCUUGAUGAAUCACAAGUCUGAAAUAUUGAAAAGUUUAAGCUAUUUCAGAGUGAAGAUCGUCGUGACAAGAGGAUAAAAUGUCUACGGUAUGAUUAUCGAGAUGAAUAUCUGAGUUGCGAGUUUGGUACACAGUUAAGACAAUGUGGAAAUUGUUUCACAACUAAUGCCACCUGGAACACCGUGGUGUGACAGUAUGUCCGAACAUCAUAGACGCGCCCUAUUGGAUACGGUGCAUACUAUGAUGUCUCUAAUCGAAUUAUCACUAUCGUUUUUGGGUUAGGCAUUAGAGACAACCGCAUUCACUUAAAUAGGGCACCACGUAAUUCCGUUGAGAUGACACCAUAUGAACUAUGGUUUGGAGAAACCUAAGCUGUCAUUUCUUAAAGGUUUGGGGUUGCGAUGCUUAUGUGAAAAUGUUUCAGUAUGAUAUGCUCAAACCCAAAGCGGAUAAAUGUAUCUUCAUAGGAUACCCAAAACAGUUGGGUACAUCUCCUAUCUCAUAUCCGGAAGCAAAGUGUUUGUUUCUAGAAACGGAUCCUUUCUCGAGGAAAAGUUUCUCUCGAAAGAAUUGAGUGGGAGGAUGGUAGAAACUUAAUGAGGUUACUGAACCGUCACUUCAACCAGUGUGUAGCAGGGCGCAGGAAGUUGUUCCAGUGGCGCCUACACCAAUUGAAGUGGAAGUUGAUGAUAGUGAUCAUGAAGCUUCGGAUCAAGUUACUACAAACCUAGUAGGUCGACAAGGUCACGUACUUCUAUGGUAACCCUGUCUUGGAGGUCAUGUUGUUGGACAACAAUGAACCUACGAACUAUGGAGAAGCGAUAGUGGGCCCGGAUUCCGACAAAUGGUUGGAGGCCAUGGAAUCCGAGAGAGGAUCCAUGUAUGAAAACAAAGUGUAGACUUUGCAAGAACUACUUGAUGGUCGUAAGACUGUUAAUUACAGAUGGAUCUUUAAAAUGAAGACACACAAUGAUGGUGAAAAGUCACCAUUAAGAAAGCUCGACUUGUCGCAAAGAUGUUUCCGACAAGUUCAAGGAGUUGACUAUGAUGAGACUUUCUCACUCGUAGCGAUGAUAAAAGUCUGUUGGAAUUAUGUUAGCAGUUGCUGCAUUAUUUAUGAAAUCUUGCAGAUAGGAUGUCAAAACAUUGUUUCCUUGACGGUUUCCUUGAGGAAAGGUUGUAUGUGAUACAACGAGAAGGUUUUGUCAAUCCUAAGGAUGCUAACAGGUAUGCAUGCUCCAGCGAUCCUUGUAUGGACUGGAGCAAGCAUCUCGGAGUUGGAAUAUACGCUUUUAUAGGAUGAUCAAAGUUUUGGGUUUAUACAAGGUUUGUGAGAAACUUGUAUUUCAAAAGAAGUGAGUGGGAGCACUAUAGAAUUUCUGAUGAGUAUAUGUGGUUGACAUAUUGUUGAUCGGAAAUAAUGUAGAAUUUCUGGAAAGCGUAAAGGAUUGUUUUACAGGAGUUUUUAAAGGAAAACCGUGGUUAAGCUACUUGAACAUUGAGCAUCAAGACCUAUGGAGAUAGAUCAAAGCGCUUAAUAGAACUUUCAACGAAAUGCAUGCCUUGACAAGUUUUUGAAGGAGUUCAAAAUAGAUCGGCAAAGAAGGAGUUCUUGGUCGUGUUGUAAGGUGUGAAUUUGUGUAAGACUCAAAAUACAACCAUGACAGAAGAAAGAGAAAGGACGAAGGGCGUCCCCUAUGCCUUAGCCGUAAGCUCUAAAGUAUGCCAUGUUGUGUACCGCACCUGAAGUGUGCCUUGCCACGAGUCAGUCAAGGGGUACAAGAGUGAUCCAGGAAUGGAUCACUGGACAACGGUCAAAGUUAUCCUUAGUAACUAGUGGACUAAGGAAUUUUUCUCGAUUAUGGAGGUGGUAAAAGAGUUCGUCAUAAAGGGUUAUGUCGAUGCAAGCUUUGACACUAAUCCGGAUGACUCUGAGUAGUAAACCGGAUUCGUAUAGUGGAAGAGUCAUUUGGAAUAGUUCCAAAUGGCAUGUAGUAGUAGCAUCUAUAGAUUGAAAUAGAGAUUUGUAAAGCACACACGGAUCUGAAUGGUUCAGACCCAUUGGCUAAAACCUCUCUCACGAGCAGGACAUGAUCGAGCCCGAGAACUGUAUGGGUGUUAGAUUCAUUACAAUCACAUAAUGAUGUGGGCUAGAUUAUUGGCUCUAGUGCGCAAGUGGGAGACUGUUGGAAAAAUGCCCUAGAGGCAAUAAUAAAUUGGUUAUUAUUAUAUUUCCUUGUUCAUGAUAAUUGGUUAUUAUUAUAUUUCCUUGUUCAUGAUAAUUUUUUAUUAGCUAUGCUAGAAUUGUAUUGAAUGGAAACUAAAUACAUGUGUGGAUACAUAGACAAAACACUGUCCCUAGUGAGCCUCUAGUUGACUAGCUCGUUGAUCAAAGAUGGUCAACGUUUCCUGGUCAUAGACAUGAGAUGUCAUUUGACAAUGGGAUCACAUCAUUAGGAGAAUGAUGUGAUGGACAAGACCCAAACUAUAAACGUAGCAUAUGAUCGUGUUAGUUUAUUGCUAUUGUUUUCUGCAUGUCAAUGUAAUUGUUCCUAUGACCAUGAAAUCAUGCAACUCCCGGACACCGGAGGAAUACCUUUUGUGUAUCAAACGUCACAACUUAACUCGGUGACUAUAAAGGUGCACUACAAGUAUCUCUGAAGAUGUCUGUUGGCUUGGCAUGGAUCAAGACUGAGAUUUGUCACUACGUGUGACGGAGAAGUAUCUCGAGGCCCACUCGAUAAUACAACAUCACAAUAAGCCUUGCAAGCAAUCUGACUAAGGAGUUUGUCACGGGAUCUUGUAUUAUGGAACGACUAAAGAGACUUACCGGUAACGAGAUUGAACUAGGUAUGUAGAUACCGACGAUCCAAUCUCGGGCAAGUAACAUACCGAUGGACAAAGGGAACUUCAUACGGGAUUGAUUGAAUCCUUGACAUCGUGUAUCGACCGAUAAAUAUAUUCGUAGAAUAUGUAGGAACCAAUAUGGGCAUCAAGGUCCCGCUAUUGGUUAUUGACCAUAGAGGUGUCUUGGUCAUGUCUGCAUAAUUUCCGAACCCGCUGGGUCUGCACACUUAACGUUCGGUGAUGCUAGAGUAGUAUUGGGAUAUGUAUGUUGGUGACCGAAUGUUGUUCGGAGUCCCGUAUGAGAUCCCGGACGUCACGAGGAGCUCCGUAGUGGUCCAUAGAUAAAGAUUUAUAUAUGGGAAGUCCUAUUUUGGCUACCGGAAAAGUUUCGGGUUUUAUCGGUAUUGUACCGGGAAGCUUCUGGAAGGUUCCAGAAGGUUCCAGAGGAUUUCAGAGGAGUCCGGAAGGGUCCCUCCAUCCCUUAGGACGUGCAUGAUCUGUAAGGGGCGUCAAAGCAUUGUUGGGCGAGCCCCAAGGGCCCAUGCGGUUGGGAGGGAAGAGUCCAUAAAGGGGAAGCCACCUCCUAGGUGCCUUGGGGAGGGAGGAAACCUCCCUAGGCCCAUGCCCCCUCCUUGGAGGAGGGGCUAGGGCUGGACCCAACCCUCCUCCCAGCCUCCUAUAUAUAGUGGGGGAGAGGGAGGGGAUGAACACAUCAAUUCCCAUGCCCCGGUGGCAGCCCUACCUCUCCCAUAACUCUGUUUUCUCCUUGGAUCGGUUCCGGCAGCGUUUGGCGAAGCCCUGCUGGCACUGCUCCACCAUCAUAUCCACCAUGCCGUCGUGCUGAUUGAGAUCUCAUCUACUUCUCCUUCCUCUCUUUCUUGAUCAAGAAGGAGGAGACGUCAUCGAGCCGUACGUGUGAUGAACGUUGAGGUGACGUCCGUUCGGCACUAGAUCGGGAUGGAUCAUGACGGGAUCGCGGGACGGAUAAUGAUGAGAUCGCGGGAUGGGCUGCGAUUUGGAUCGGAAGAUGUUCCACUACAUCAAACGCGUUAUAUACGCUUCCGCUUAACGAUCUACAAGGGUAUGUAUAUUCACUCUCCCCUCUCGUAGAUGAUCAUCACCAUGGAUAGGUAUUGCGUGUGCGUAGGAAAUUUUUUAUUUCCCACGCAACGUUCCCCAACAAGCCGGUGUUGUAGCUCCCUUCCAAAUGUUGUUCCACGAUUAGGUCCUCCAAAACGUCGCCCUCUGCUUCUCUAGGCCAUCGUCCGCCUUCGCUCUCCCGGCACCCUCCUCGUCUUUCGCCACUGGCUCCUCCAUGACACCCUCCACCUCCCCUCGUCCUUGCCUUUCGCCACCUGUUGUCCAUAUCAAAUUCUCUCAUCAUCAAGCAUUAUGUUGUCUGGGACACAAAUGAGAAUCGACAAAAAUACAUUCAUGUCUUUGGCAGAUAAUGUAAAAAUUAGGUAUAUUUUCUUCUUGUUUGGGCUAUGUUUCUAUUCCUAAUUGCUCGGUGUUUUUUCACUGUACACCCUUCCAGUUGUCCUCGUCGAGUCUAUGCCACCGCCACCGCCAUGUGCCCCAGAUGCUACUCCGGUUGUCAAAGAUGAUGUCAGAGUUGUUGAUGAUAAGCGUACUUGCAUUGUGAUCUUUUUGAGGUUUCUAUCUCACCUAUUUUCAAACAUCUAUAUAGAAAUAGUCAUGCAUUGUACAUGUCCAAUGACACCUACUACUUUUCCUCUCCCUAGAGUGGUGUGGUGACUAGUUCGAAGGUUCUAGAAAGAGCUAUGCGUUAGGCGAGUGUUAGAUGGUUGCCUAGCGCCUUGCGUGCUUACAUGUCUUUUUUCUACAAAGAGUAAUAUACUAGUAUCAUACUGAUACUAAGCAUAUUGGUCGGCUCCAACAACGCAAUGUUAAGAUUAAAAACUCAAGAUGUUGAAUACAAUAUAGUAAAAGUUACUCUUGGAAUCAGGGUGAGUCCCCUGCUUCAUACCUUAGAGAUUGGAUGAUGACUUGAUUAGAAAAAAAUUCAUUCUCUAGCGCACUACCACUGAUUGGUGUCUUCACUCCAACGAGCUUAUUAUCGAGAAGGCCUAUGUAGACUUCACAAAAGUAACAUUUUCAAUUAUAUUUGUACUCCUCAAGAUUGGCUUGUGUUCCUCCUUUUUGAAAGGCUUUAUUAUGUUUGCUUUCUCUAAUAGACCCACCAUUCCUUUGGUAAAACUCUCUCAUAUUUGUUCUCAAUGCAAAGACUAGUGAGAAAUAACGGAAUUGCCAUGACAAAGAAACCACCUAUAAUACAUCCAGGAAGAACAAUUUGUUUAAGUGAGGUCGUAAAUGAACAUUUGUUCUCUACUAUGGAUAUAAAAGCAAGGCUUGAGUGAUUGAUGGAAAAACUAGCAAGUAGAGUGAAGGUGCUAACUAAUUACAUUUUGGAAAUUUCCCUAGUUUGUGAUAUGGAUCUAGUAUAGAUUAGAUGUCCCUUUUCCCCCAAUUUUUUUGUACAAGUCUAGUGAACUUUUUCCAUGUGGUGGUUCCUGGUUUGACCAAAAUGGUGUAGAUUGCUUUGCAUCCGUUUUUUCCAUACAAACAGGUUUACUAAAGAUAGCUACAUGACCAAGUGGUCAGCUUCGUAAGCUAUCAACAAAAAUUGCAAUCAAUAAAGAUGGCUACAUGAACAAAUAAGUUCUUAACAAGGAAGAGGAAUAUGAUUUAAGUUUUUGUUGUUGUUUAUUGCAUUGCCUUUUCAGUGUUUGGAUGAUAACAAUAAAUGCACAUAUUUCUUCAUUGGAUGGCUACUGUUAGUAACUGCUUAUUACAGGUUGAAGGUCAGGUGGCAAUAAUAGUGCACUCAACACAUUACCUUUAUAAUAUCCGUGUAUUUAAAAAUUAGUCACAAAUUUAAAAAAACUAAAAAAAUUCAAAUGAUGUUUGUGAAUUUCAAAAAUGGUUCCCCAAUUUAAAAAAAAUCAUAGAUUAAAAAAAUUAGUUGAUUAAAAAAAUCACAAAUUAAAAAAAUGUUCAUGCAUUUUAAAAACGUUCGUAAAAACAGAAACAUUUGUUUGUGAAUCCCAAAAAAUGUUCUCAAAUUAAUCGAUUCAUGCUGUAAAAAAAACCUCCAAUAACUCCAUCCUAUCUACCGACUUGGGCUGUGAAAACACCCCCAAAAUCCACAAAACUCAAACGGGUCUAGAAAUAACAGAGAGAGCAAGAUUCUGAAAAUAACGCCUCUCUUUUUAUAGGGGAAUAAAUAGGAUGGUCUAGGACAACUUUUGUUUUAUUAUACGUAUAAUUUUGAGAACAAGAUGCUCGAAGACAACAUAAGCAGCAAAAACGAGUGUCCGACAAAGUAUGGGCCCAGAGCCGAAUGGAGAAGCCCAGCCGCUCUGUUUUCUCAAAAAUAAGGAUAGCACCGGGCCCAACAGGCAAAAAUAACCAAAAAAAGAUAAUUAUCAGAGCCAGGUUUCGAUCCUGGGACCUGUGGGUUAUGGGCCCACCACGCUUCCGCUGCGCCACUCUGAUCUUCUUGUUCAGUAUGCAACUUUUAACUAUAUAUAUACAAAUUAAAAGUAACCAGAUGAUGUGGCAAUCCAGCAGACCGUGUACCCUCUGCUUCAACUCACAUUAACAAGCGAAGGUGAAGGAAAUUUUUGAAAUUACGGUGAAAUUUAGAUAAAUCAGGAUUACACUUGAAAGGCAAUGGAGAAUGCAAAGUCAGAAAUGUAUACCAAUAAUAAAAAAAAUUGAACCCGAUGCCUUCUCUAGAAGUUAAUUCGAGUUUCUAGUGCUGAGAACACGAGCUCUGACCGAUCUUAUAGGUUUUUGUCCAUUCGGCUUGCGUCUCGGUUCUUCGGUUUGGUAGUUCGGUCAACGGUUAACAUUUAAAACAACUAACAGAAGUCAAAUAAUGUUUGUGAAUUUUAAAAAAACAAUUUAAUAUUCAAAAACAAUUAGUUGAUUAAAACAAUGUUCAUGCAUUUCAAAAAUGUUCGUGAAAAAUCAUUUUUUGUGAAUCCCAAAAAAUGUUCUUGAAUUAAUCGAUCCAUGCUGUAAAAAAGACCUCCAAUAACUCCAUCAUAUCUAUCGACUUGGGCUGUAAAAACACCCCCAAAAUCCAGAAAACUAAAUCGGGAAUCUUAGAUGCACGGGAUGAAAAGUAAUAUACGAUGAUCUAGGACAACUUUUGUUUUAAUUAUACGUAUUUUUUCAGAACAAGAUGCUCGAAGAGAACGUAAGCAGCAAAAACGAGCGUCCGACAAAGUAUGGGCCCAGAGCGAAAUGGAGAAGCCCAGCCGAAGUCAGAAAUAUGUAUCAAUAAUAAAAAAUAAUGAACCCGAUGCCUUCUCUAGAAGUUAAUUCGAGUUUCUAGCGCUGAGAACACGAGUUUUGGCCGAUCUUAUAGGUUUUGGUCCAUUCGGCUCCAGUCUCGGUUUUUCGGUUCGGUAGUUCGGUCAACGAUUAAUAUGCCCAUCCCUACUAACAUGCAUCAUUACUUUUUUUCAUAAAUAUAUGUUUUUAUCACAUGAAUUUCCUUGUUUCCCCUUACUUUUCAAGUCUAUAUGGUUUUGACAAUUAUCUGGCUAUUAGGUUUGAUGGGCCCAACUCAGAUUUUGAAAUAUACAUAACCUAAUAAUAAUCCGAUUUAUUCAUCACAAAACUAAACUAAUCUAGUUGCAUUUUCUCAACAAGGAAAACUGAUCAAGUUGCAAGAAAUGCCUUUUUUCGAUCCAGAAUUUGAGACAAUAUAUAACCACUGAUUAACAAAAUUCGUAACAACUUUUCAAAAAGUAACACACCCAGAACCUAAACACUCUUAAAUAUCAAAUUCUGAGGGCAGGCGGCAACUGUUACUGUCACCCACACUAGUACCAAAAAUACAUAAUGUGGUUUACCUCACCACUAGCGUUGCCGAGACAAAAAGGACCAGCAUUUCUACUGCUCCGCACAUUCAAGAAACAGACCGAUGGCAUGUAUAAGAACAGACAUGCCGAACGGCACAUCAGAGGUCAACUUAUUCAUUGUUAACUAGAGCAAAUGUCUUGAAAGAUUCCGUAUGGAUGACACAAACACAACACAGGCUGGUCAGGCAAACGAGACAACGAAUCCUUCCAAGGGAGCACCUCACCACGGCUGUUCUUCAGUAAAUCUCAACAGAUGGACUAGACGACUGCGGAUCCAGCUACUACUCUCUGGCUCCAAGCCCGCCAAGAAAGACGGACCCUGCUGCAAACGGGAACUCGUACUACGCUGAAGCACCAGCCUCCUCCUCCUCUUUCCUCUUGCGGGCCCACUUCGGGCUGACCUCGAUGAGCCUGUGAGGCAUGAGCUGCUUCUCCUUCCGGGUGAGCUUCUUGUAGUUCAUGACUCUGAGUUUCGCAAUCUUGGCUUCCUCCUCGGCUGUGGCUUCUCUGACCACCACUGUCAGCCUGCACCUAGGUCUCUCCCUGACACCACACCUCCCUUUGGCAUGGUAAGCGAGCCUCUUGAGAUAAAUUCCUUUUCCCACAAAAGCCUCUUCUGCAGUGUCGUCGAGGAGGAGGGUGAUGAGAUUUAAUUUAUUGCAGACAUGGAGGUAAAUGUGAGCAGCUUUGUUGCAAUCUUACCCACAAUAAGUUUAUCUGCAUCCAGUCCAUGGUUGUGAGCUGCGUUCGCACGAGCAGAAUGGAUCACCUACAGCAAUUGAUAGGAAAAAAAUCUCAUGAAAAACAUAAAUGGUCAGUUUGGACCUAUCGCAGAAAGAAGCAGGGUUACUUGAGUAGGCAACUUUUUUUUGCUGAUUGCCAAACCUGGUACAAAGUUUUCGCAGCCCUUUUAACCGUCACUUGCAACUGUAAAAGGGCAUCUUCCACGCGCAUUCCUCGAACCAGCUUGGCUACCAGAUUCACCUUCUUGGGGCUCUAAAACAACCAGGAACAUUAAGAUCAACUGGAGAAAUAAAUAUCUCUUUGUGGCACUAGCAAAAUAUUAUUAGGCAGUACAGCAGUUCAUGGAGUUCGCUGGACAGCACAGGACUGGUUCCUCUACGUGCUCUUUAUUACAGUCUAGCCAAGUGAGACAAGAAAAUGGUUUCAAAUCAAUACAUAAACUGAGUAAUGAAUGACCAGUUCAUGAAAUCCUGGCAACGAAUAACCAGUUGAUAUAAAGUCUGCUAAGCAGCCCUAGUCUCUCCAUGUGCUUUGUAUUAACUAUCAAAGCAAAGUGAGAUACGCAAAUGUUUUCCAACCAAUAUAUAAAUUCAGUGACGAAUAACAAGUUGAUAAAGUCUGCCGCACAGCCCUAAUCUCUCCUCGUGCUGAUUAAGGCCCUGUUCGGAGCCCCUCCAGUCCACAACUCCGCUCCCGGAGAAGCCGGAGGUGCAGUUUAAAAUCACGGAACCCCUGUUCGCUCGCUCCUCAGAUCCUGAGAUUUUCGGGAGCUGGUGGAUGGACUGCCGAACAGGGUCCAAGCCCGCUACAAAGCCUUAAUCUCUCUACGUGCUCAUCAUUGCAUUCCAGCAAAGUGCGAUAAGCAAAUGUGUUACCAACCAAGGUACAAAUUUAGCGGUGGAUAGAAGCUACAAGCACGCCUUAAAUUCACAGCAAGAAACACUUGCAGCUUCCGCUAAGGAUAUGUAGUAGUGCAUAAGCAUUAUACUCUCGGCGUUAUGACUAACAGCGGGGGCUACGUAGCCGUUGCGGAUCUCAGGAUCACAUGUUCAACAACCGCAGACGGCGUGCGUAAAAAGGUUAAUGAUUUAUAAUGCUCGGUCUUUUGCUUACUCAGGCAGUUUGAUAUCUCUGAGGAACAUAACCAACAAACUACUACUGAGGUUUUGUUUACCUGCUUGAUGUCCUUCUUGAUGGCCUGGACUUUGAGCCGCUUCACCACGGCCCCCUUGUCGUCGGUCCCUUCCGCGGCACCCAACGGCGAUGACAACGGGGACGAGACGGGGACCAUGGAAUCGUCUCCGGCAAGCAGGCUCCUCGUGGUCGAUAUCCCCUGCAAAGAAACAAUCAGAUUUCAACACCGAGCAGUAGGAAACAUAGCAAUGUGGAUCGCGUAUGAGAAGCCGGGGCAGGAGAGGGGCGGUGCACCUACAGCGUUGCGGAUCAGCUGGUGGAGGGAGGAGGGGGAGGGGGCGACGGCCGCCGGGCGCAGGAUGUCGAUCAGCGCCGCCGGGGCGCGGCCGCCGCGCGGGAAGGGUGGGGCGGAGGAGAGGUGGCGGGAGAGGAGGAGGCGGGCGGAGGUGGUGGAGGCCGAGGGGGAGAGCAGCCUGCGCGCCAUGGCAGCGGCGGCGGCGGCGGCGGCCAUCGGCGGCGACGCAACCCUAGCGGGAGCUCCGGAAGGAGGAGAGAAAUGGGGAUCGAGAGCCGUGUGGCCCACAAGGGGUUUAGAGAUGGGUUUAAGUUUUUUGUUUUCUAUCUGUGGUUUGGGUUGGGCCUGAGGUCCAAUGGGCUUUCGGACAGCCCAUCCAAGCCCAUGUUGAGUUAGUCAGUUUUCUUAACACAAUACAGACGCAGAUGCUCAUACAUUCAUGAAUGCCUAUCAAUGCCCGCACACAUCCUAUCCCCAAGAACGUCUGAUACAUCAUCCCAAAAUUGACCUGAAAAUGUAAGCACGAGUGUCAAAUCUAAAACUUGAAACAUGGCGGGCCAAAGAUACCACUGUCCUUCUAAACAACCCAAAAAAGAAUGUCCUCCUAUAAACAUUCAAUCAUAGGCCGGUUCGCUCCGAGUUUGUUUAUCGUUUCGGAAUGAUUUAGCGAAACAUCUAAAAAGAUGAUCAAGGUUCGCGUGUGGUUCAAGGUUCGCGUGUGGUUGCUCCGUUUCUCUGUUGAAUGCUGCAUAUUUUUUUUGCUUUUUGUUUUCUUCUACAUGGCUUUUUUUAUUUUUAUUUUUGUUCUUUUUUCUCAGGGUUUGGUUUUGACUGGUUUUAUUUUGUUUUUAUUUUCCACUUUUUAUUUUUUAUAGUUUCUGUACUACAAACUUUACUAAUAUUUGGUGAACAGUUUUAAAAAGAUAUACUCAAAAUUUUAUUAUUAUACGUUGAACAUGUUUUUCACACACAAUGGACAUUUUUUUACAUACGAAGAACAAUUUCUAUAUGUGGUAUUUAUUAAUAUACGGUGAUGUUUCUCCUAAUACACACCAAAAUAUUUAAAAAUAUGCUCCUAAUUUUUUAAAUAUUUUUGUAUUUUUAAAAAUAGGUUUUUUAUUUAGAUCCGUUUGAAAAAUAUAGACAGUCGGUUUUUGAAUGAAAAACCCCAACUAGAACAGAAGAGAAGAAAGAACAAAACAGACCCGCGUAAGAAGUGGGUCGGACUAUUAUGGCAUGUACAAUGGUUGAUAAGAUAGUUUAUCUAAAAUCUUGCAUGUAAUUUAGAGAUGGAAAAGAAAAGAGUCUACAAUGAAUCAUCUCUUAGCCUUAUCUUUUAUAAUUAGCUAUUCCUAAAAACAAGGUGAGACAUAUUGUGCUAAAAGAUCAUCUCUUGUCUUCUCUAAAAUAAAAGAAGGCAAAAUCUUUUUUUCGAGUUCUUUCUCUCCACCUCAUCAUUUAUUCUAUGUGACGCUCCUAACAUAGCAUCACAGGUCAUAGCUUCUUCUCGUGUCUUGUCCGCUAGGCACCCACAAUAAAAACAAGAAUGGCAAUGAUAUAUAUACAUUACAAGCGCAGACAUGUAUUCACCUUUGGACCGUUGAGCUCCAGGACUACCUAUAUGACCUGGGUCACUUUCAUGUGGACCACCUUAUCAAACGGGUACCCAAUGGGUCUGUGAGGCUAUUUCCAAUCCAUAUCCCAUGAGUUUUCGGGUAUCAACGUACAAAUUUCUAACCGUUGAAUUAUGAUUGGACUUCAGGUUGUAAUUAGUGUAGAACAAGUAUGUUACUGCAAUAUGUUGUAUUCUAAGCCGCUUAUAUAUCAUAUGAGCGCCACACAUUAUACAUAGAGAAUAGAAAAUAAAUUAAUUAGCUGGGUUUUAGUGAGAGGGGAGGCUAAAUAGAUGUGUGUGUUAAUUUGAAGUUUGAGUUAUCCCUAACACAAUAACUUAAGUAGAAAGAGAUCAAUAGACAAAUGUUAUGGGCUAAACUUGAAGAUUUGCUUUGCAAUCAGGGAGAUGGGAUAUUGUAAAAUUUAUAUGUUAUAUAUACAUAAACCGCCAAACAUAAACAUAAUUAUCUAAAACGCAAUUGCUUGGUUCAAUCAAAGCGUCUUAAUGAUAAAACACUCUCAAAACAAGCAAUCAACCAACACUGCAUGCAUUGUGCAAAUUUACAAUCUCAAAACAAGGGAUCCAAAAGUUAGUCAAUCGUGCACACAAAGUACCGAUUGAAUCUUGAACAAGAACAAGGAUGGCAUGAACAUUUACUAAAGAUAAAACCAAUGGAACUCCAAACAAAUAUAAGGUUUUAGUAUUUUCCUCUGACUACUAAGAUGUUUCAGUAUUCUGUUCGACUCAGUCUCAGCCUCUCAGGCCUAGAAGCGUGUACAUUCAUACAAGAGCAAACCGUCUCAGUAAUUAUGGAUGCCUAGCUACAUGAAUGGUACUCCUGCUUCGUGGAAAUUCUUGAGGGUAACCAAUGGGUGGCCACCCAUGGGUGCUCAGUCAAUACAAUGGGCAAGCGGUGGUCCAUAUGCCUAGACAUGCAUAUAUGCAACCAAUUUUGCACCAGCCGCACAAAACCCAUGAAGCUCUUGUGGCCUCAAGCGGCCUUCGUGCACCAUCUCCUAUUUUAGGCAUCAGCCACCUUCAUAAGCCUCCACAUGAAGCAUCUCAUUGGAAGCGACAACAUCUCUCUCAAAUCAUCCCUCGCCCACUUGGUAGGACAACCGGUGGUGUGCAUUCAUCGAUGGGCAUCGUGUCACUCAUGAUAUUGGCCGACUGGCCUCGGUGAAGGUUGCUUCCAUCACGACAAACUUGUUAGCGGUUGCACUGACCAUUGUUUCCAUCAUGGUAGCAAUCACAUUGGUUUCGACGGCGAGCGCCACCAAGAAGUCCAUUGAUGCCAUGAACUCCUCUGUCCAAAGGGGCCUUGGAAAGAUGUCGUGGUCAAGGAGGAUGUCAAUAAGGCUGUUGGGGACGAGAAGAAAGUGGCCACAAUUACCACCGCCUACAGCCCGUUGAUGCAACCAGUGUCAUCACCCUCGCUCACAAGUUUGUCAUGAUGGAUAAAACCUUUCAACGGGCAGCUCGGCCAAUAGCAUGAGUGUCACCCCUUCCACGAAUGCACACCAUCACAAUUGCAACAAGGAUUAGCUUGGUAUAUGGGUGAAUAUUUCUCCGUGGAAAUGUAGAAAAUGGCAGAUCCUAUAUAAGUAAGUAGUUGAUGCACAAUACCUCUAUUCUUUUAAAACACACACAAUCAUAUAUAUCACCUCAUUAAUUACUUUAUUUUUUCUAUUAUUUAGUUGCAUGCUUCACUUUAGUAUUUUUUCUAUCCAUAGAAUCCAACCACAUCAAUAAGUAAUGCUUAUUCGUCACACCAUUAUCACCAUCAUAGUUAACUCUCACAAUUUAUACAUGUUGUUCCUAUCUAUCCAACUCAUCCACAUCAAUAAGUCAUGCACAUUUUUCACAUCAUCAACAUGCAACCACAACAUAUUUAGUUUUCAUAAUUUAUACAUUUUCCCUAUACAUGCAACUCAUCCACCAUAAUAAUAAGUCAUACAUGUUUGCCAUGUCAUCAACUUGUCAUCUCUCAUGCUUAAUCCUCAUAACUUAUCUACAUCAUUAUCCUACCAAUUUUAGCAUGUGUUACCACUACAAUGAGAGAGUUAACUUUUUUUUUUUUGCAGGAAAAGAGAGAGUUAUCUUCGAUUCUAGUAUACCCAAAUAGUUGCUUCUCACUACUUUUAUUUUUCUCAAUAUGCACAUGUGCCACCUUAUCACACAUGUCACCUCAUUAAUUACUAUUGUCUUCCUAUUUUUUUCGGUUGCAUAAUCCAGCUUACUAUCAGGGGCAGACCGAGAAGGAAAAUGAAUCGGUGUCCCUGUUUUAAAGAAGACACAUUUUCCAUCUAAUGAUAGGAUGUCACACACUACACUAUAUACAUGAAAAUUACCAAGGAAAAGAAAGAUAUCAGAUAGAUAAAAUGUAACCUGGAGAUACGGAAAUGCAAUUCGGCUCCCAAGAGCACGUGCUCCUGCCCAUGAAAAAUGAUUUUUGAAAUGUCAAAAAAAAUCGCAGCAAUUUUUUAUGUGUUCUUUGUCACAUCCAAAUACUACCUUAAAAGUUUUAGGCAAAAAGGUUAAACAUUCUGGCCUGUGCAAAACCUGGAUCUUGCUUUCCAAACUUCGAAGAGAAAAAAAUCCUCACACUUAAACAUAAUUUUGUAAAAAAAUCUUUCAGUUAGUUCAAGCAUCUUAAUCACAAGACACUCUGCCAUGAAUCCACACAACUACCCCGCAAAAAAAAAAAGAAUCCACACAACCAACCAACACUGCAUGCAUUUUGCAAAUUUACAAUCUCAAGAUAAUAGAUCACAAGUUAGUCAGCCAUGUACACAAUAGUACCAAUCGAAUCUUGAACAAGAACAAGAAUGACAUAUGUAUUCCUAAAAGAUAAAAUCAAUGGAAUUCCAAUCAGAUAGAACAAAUGUAAUAAUUACAGAGGUUUAGUGGUUGUCUGGUUCCAGUACGUCCUAGCAAUGCCACACUUCACCACAUAUUUUUUUGUCAAACCUGACUAAGGUUAGUUCCAUAAAUUGGAGCCACAAGUUGUCAAGUUUAAGAGAAUCUUGACACACUUUUUGAGCGUAUGCAACAUGGGCUCUUAGCGUGGCAAAAAAACAUCUUGCCUGGGAUGGGUCUUAAACCAAAAUUCAUCUAAGUUGGUCAAACUUUUCUAACCUCAGGUGUGACAACUUUAAACGAAUUUAGUCUCAAACCAAACAGCCUCUUAGUGUUUUCCUCUGGCUACUACGACGUUAAUUUUAGUUUGACUUAAUCUCAGACCUGAAAACAUGUACAUUCAGACAAGAGCAAAACUGCCUACUGCUUUCCAGGAAUUCUUGAGAGAAUCUAAUCUGUGGCCACUUUUGGGUGCUCAAUCAAUACGGCCCAUACGCCUAGACACACAUGCAUGGAAACAAUUUUUUGCAUCCACCACACAACGCCCGUGAAGCUCUCGUGGCCUCACACCGUCUUCAUACACCAUCUGCUGUCUAAAACAUCUCAUUGCAUCCUUGCCAGCGGUUGUGCUGAUCCUUGCUGCCGCGGAAGCAGUCAUCGCCGCCAUGCCCGGUGAUAAUAAGUUUGCCGUCUGGAAGAAGCCCUUCAACGAGGACCCUCUCGUUCCGCAGCACGGGUGGCACCCGAUCCAUCCAUGAAUGCACACCACCGGGAUGGCACACAAGAAAAAAAGGGAGAACCAUGAAUAUAUAUCUUGGCAGAACAGAAAGAAGAAUUGCGAAUAUGUCAGUACACUCAAGAAUGCCGACGAACAAGGUAUGUAGUGAUGCACAACCCGGACUACUGCUACUGCAUCAUUCAGUACGGGUUACUAUAUACUCCCUCCGUUCCAAAAUAACUGUCUCAACUUUACGCUAGGUCUAAUACAAAGUUGUACUAAGCUUAAGACACUUAUUUUGGGACGGAGGGAGUAUUAUGCAGUAUAUAACUAUAUAUAUGCAGGUAUAUUCCGCAUUAGCAUUAUAUGAAAUUCAGGUUAAUCAAACGGAGGCAAGAGAUUCAGCCCUCAAGCAUGCAUCUUUCUUGCCACCCACUUGUCCAUUCAUUCAGCCUUAUAUUUUUACGUGCUGAACGAGCAUAUAUACGCGAACCGCAUCCAAAUAUAGUUCCAUCUGAACCUGAUUAGUCGAUGGUGACAGAUUGUACGAUAACAUCUAGAUGAGACAGGGGUGAAGGGCUAAUUUAGCACAGAAAUUGGCUUUUGUUUGUUUGCUGCACAAGCACAUGAAAUCUGCGAACAUGUACAGGCGUGAAUUUUCCUUCUGAAAUUCUAUAGUGGCAAAAAAAAAAAAAAGUGUUGUACAUAUCUCAAAGUACCCCGUUUCUGAUCAAAAUCCGAACUGGGCCUAUAACCAAGAUUGUUGAGUUAUACACUACUUUUUGAAAUAAACAGCAGUGGUCCAUAGAGAGAAAAUAAUGGUUACCAUAAACAUAAUACCUGUUCUGAUGUAUUUCAGCACACAAACUUGCACCAGCCCCGCUUUGCACGCAGUUGCGGCUCAUCUACGGAACGAAACAGACGCCGAAGGCGGGAUCAGGGAACAGCUUCAUACACAGGGCCUCCCCUACAUACAUUGCAAUAGAAGAAAGAGCACAACCAUUCAAAGAGAAGUUCAGUAUUACACCUUGAUAUUGAUGCAGGUAGAAAGAGACCAAGGAGAUCAGGGAGAAGGCGUCGCCUUCAGGUUUGCGAUGAAGAUGGCGACUCAUCACCGCCGACUGCCCGGCAAUGAUGAAGAUCGCUACCAGGAUGGUCAAUCAUCAUCAGCCAGAUGUUGGCCCGAACCUGAAAUGCACUGUACCAUCAUUCACCAGACCAAAAAAUAGCAUCUUCCAUAGGCAAAUCUGGCACAGAGGUAAGGCCAAGGAACAGGGGAUCUGCAGAGAUGCACUACACCUGACUGACUGGUGCUAAUCACCAUUAUGCAAUCUGGUUCAGUAGUAUUAUAUAUAUAUAUAUCAUAUAUAUAUAUAUGCAGGUACAAUCCGAAAAGACAAGGUUUCUCGAGAUUCUCGAGCCAAUUCUCUCAUGAGAUUGACAGUCAGAAAGAAAGGACCAUGAGUCGACAAGGGCGCUGUAUGUAAUGUUGGUUGAUACAUAACAUCAUCAUGUACUCUACAUGCACCUAAAACCUAUACAUUCAUCAUCGUCGUCGUCGUCGUCGUCAUCAACAUCUCCGUCAUCCGAGUAAAGGAGUCAAGGCUGUCAUGUCAUCCACCAAGAGAAGACAUGGAGACGAGGAGGACCGAGGCAAGUCAUCAGCUAAGCUAGACAAAUGUGGAGUUUGGAGGGGUGAUGCCCAUCGUCUUGUAGUAGGCCUUCUCGGCCUCCGCCAUCCUCGUCUUGAACAUGCCCCACUCCUUCCGGCACCGCGCCCUCACCCCUUCCCACGCCGGCUUCCCGCGCUCCGCCUUGCCCUGCCAAAUUCAUCACACAUACAAAUCAGCAGGUUGGCCUCAUGCAUGCCGUGGUACCUGACACGCAAAGAAGUAUAUGUAGCGAAUAAUUACCUGGUUCCCAAGAGAAGGAACCACCUGGUGAACGAUCCACUGGGAAUCGACGACUCCGAUCUUCUCAUGAGCAGGCUGUGAACGAGGAGGAGCACAAUGAGAUUCAGCAAAGAUAUGCUGGUGAAAUUUCAUGACGAAUUUUAAAUAGAGAUAAAUAUACCUCCACGCAUUUCCUGAGCGCGAAGUCAAGACCCCAUCCAUGAACCAAAUCAUUCUGCAUUCAGGAGAGGCACCAAUAAUAAGUAAAGACGGAGCAAUUCCAUAUAGGACGGCAGGCACUAGCCAUAGCCGGUAAGGUAUACUGACCUGAAUCAUAUGCCAUACGCAUCGCCAUGCCUCCCUUGAGAAGACUGGAGCCAUUAUUUCAACAAACCUGUUUUUUUUACAGCAAAAGAUAAAUCAAAGUAAUUAGCAACAGAGACGCGCCAGUUAGAUCUCUCUGUUAAUAGUAUAGAUGUGGAUAGAACUCAGCAAAGAGGAUAAUAAGCACAUACGCAGCACAAGGUGGAAGAUGAGGGUUAGCACACCAGCCUGGCCUUUCCUCUGUCUCCCUGCACCAACACAAGUUGCCAGCUCAAGUUACUACGUACAUCAGAACAAGAAAUCUAUUUCUUUGCUUCCUUUCAGAUUGUAACUGCACCACUCACUUGUGGACCUCUCGGUCACCUCUUCUUUUGGUCAUCUGCCAAGUUAGUCCUCGGUCAGGUUCUAAGCCGGGCUGGGAGAUAUCCAGACCAUUUUUCUUAACAAGUUUGAGGUACCUGUAAUCCAGCACCAAUAUGUAUAUGUCAGUUCUCAUAUCAAGAAAUAAUUAUCGGGAGAACUGAAGAGUGGAAGCAUACUCCUCUGCGUUGAAAUGAUCCACCCCAAGGUCUUCAUCCCAGAUGAAUAUGUAUUCGUAGGCCGCCACAAUGUCAGGGUGCAAGAAUCUUUUGGCAUACCACCUAGAGGUAUGUGCAUAAAAAGGCGUUAGAAGAAGAUUGAUUUCAAACUGAAACGAUCGGAUGAAUAGCCAGUACAUUACAGCACAGGAGCGCACCAUUUAGUUUGUUUACUGACACUAACAUGGAUGGCUCGCUUUGACCACUCAAAUUCGUCCCAUUCGGUCACACGCCCAUCAUAGUGGAAUAACAGGAUAGCAAAAUUGUCAGAAAACUGCAACAAGUGGGAAAAAAUCAGGAUGGUAAUCAAGUGAAACGGCAUGCAUACAUAAGAAAAUCCAGUUUCGCCGGAACUGCGUAGAGUUAAAAUUUUACUCGUUCUGCUGAUUAAAGUUGCCAACAGCAUUACCUUCUUCACUGCUCUGUUUAUGUUUUCUUUCUGCGCAUAUCCAACAGUGAAAGUCACAAGGUACUUUGGUUUGAAUGGCAGGUCCUGCAUAUUUGAGAUCAAAUGUCAGCACAGCAAGCACCAGACGGUAGAAGGGUACAGAAUUUAGGACUUCUGAUUUCAAUUAGUUCAAGACAUAACAUGUGAGUUCUGAGGUACCAAGUUUCUAAUUUAAUAACAAUGGAGAUGAACAGGAAGAGCCACAUAAUAUAACAUUAAUCUCAAUCUCGAUAAUGCAUAAUGUUUUGAUCUUGAAGAAGGAACCAGCUUAAAGAUAAGGCACACAUGCUUGUCAAUCUGAAUAUUUGACAAAGAGAUAGGAAUUUAAGGCAUUUCUCAAGAUGUUCAGUUAUAAAGCAGUUCCAUUGAACUGAAUAUCAGUUGGGUGAUGCGAGUAUUCUGCACAAGAAAAUGUACCUCACUUGGGUCUCCCCACAACCUGCGCAGAUGGAAGUCGGUAUCUGGCACAACAAUGCCUGGUGCUAGCCUCUCUGCACCCUUGGGGUUUGUUGGGACAUAAAUCUAGGAUUCAUAAGCAAAUAUUUUGUUUUAGUGAACAAGAUCUAGUAGAGGUAAACAUCGAUCAGGAAUGGAUGUAAUCAAUAUAAUUGGUUAAUCUAUGCACACUUUUGAUUAUUCAAGAAGAAAUUUUUGCCAAAUGUACACCACAUCAGAUACUUUACUACUAUGCUUUCAAAAAUACUUUACUACUAAACUACAUGCUGUCACUCUGUCAAAAUUAACGAGUCAUAGAACAAACCUUUAAAGUAGUGUUUGUAUUUGGUUCCGAAGUGUUCUCCCUUGCAUUUCUGACAGAAUCCCAGGCAUGAUUAAGUAAAGCUUGGGUCGAGAGCCCAGAGUUCCUCUCCUCUAUGUAUGAGACAAAGCUGGAAGGGAAGUGUAGCUGGCACAUUCCAAACACAAAUAAGUUACCCUGUUCCGAUGAACCAAAACAAUGUGGUUACACUGAUAAGAAAAACCCAUCAUCAUACCUUUGUUAUGCUCACCGAUGGAAAUGAGAUUCCAAUGAAGAAGCCAAGGACCACCCCAAUAACCGUUACCAUAACAAUCCUCAUGGUUUCGUUCGUAAAUCUAAACACGCUGCAAGCAUUGACAUGCCACACAAAGAGCAAACGGGGAAAUAUUAACUGCAGGGGUAGCGUGCAGCCAAUUCGAAUCAGAAGUAGAGGGUGAAAAAGGCACACACCUGCGACUGACAGCUGCGAGUUUCGCCAUGAUCCAGUAUAGGAAUGCAACCACAGGGGUGAGUGGACACUUGCGAGCGAGCACUGCUACUCAUCGUCCAAAGAGAUCAUGCUGAUGGAGUUGUUCCGCAUCAGCAUACGCAAAACAAAAGGGGGGCCUGGAGGAAACAGCGGCAAACCCAUGGUGAGAGACCCUGAGAAGUACAAGCAAGUGACAUUGCGUAUUUGCAUGACUUAUGCGUGCAUGACGAACUGAUGACCAACCAGAACAUAUUCUUUUCUUUUUUCCAACAAGGUUGACAGCCAGAACAUAUUCUAGUGACCCACAAGACACUGACAGCUUACAAUUGUAACCGUUGAACACCUCAAAAGCAUGAAACAAUGCAAUAUUUUCACGAUGAAUAGACGGCUAACAAGUAGUAGUAGUAGUAGUUUAAAAUUCGCCUCCAGUUAACUUGAGAGACCUGCCUUUCUGAUUCACGCACGCAUGAUGAACUGAUGACCAUACCAGAACAUAAUCUAAAACGACCCAUGGCGACGCCGACGGUUUGCAAUUGCUCAACCACAAAAGCAUCAAGCAAGACGAUAUUUCUUCGCAGCGGUUGGACGGCUAACAAUUCCUAGUAUACUUUAAACUUCGCCUGAAGCUAACUUGAGAGGCCUGAUUCUAGGCAUGGGGAUCGAUUGAUUACGCCUGCUGACCAACCAGAUCAGUUGACUAUUAAGUAAGACUCGAGAGUUGAAAGUCCAACCAUGCUUACGGUGGUAGGAUUCAACCCCUAAACCAUAAACUAAAUCUUUUUUUCUUAAACAAACACUAGAUGAUGAUGAUGAUGAUGAUGAUGAUGAUAAAUAUAUUGAAUCGAUAGCCGAUUAGCAGGAGUAGUAAGCCAGGUCCCCGUCUUCUGAAAUCCAAUCCCCAAAUCCAACCAAUUCGACCUGCCUACCUACCUACCUACCAACCUAAAGGCAUGCUUCCAGAAGAAGUAGAAGAAGGUGGGAAAAAAGCGUAUUUUUCCCUGCUCGAAAAGGGGUGGGGGAAAGGAGCUUACGCACGCACCUACCUAGAACCAGAGGCGGCGGCGCAAGUUGGGGAUGGACCUCGCCUCCGGCGCGGCCACUGAGCUCCUGGAUCGAGCCGAGCGGUGCCGGAACCCGCCUCAAUCUGCCACCAACCGAGCAAGAAAGCAAGCAAGCAGGUGCGGCGGCGGUCGGCGAGCGGAGGAGCUGGGAAAGUAGGCGGUGCGGCACGAGGUUGUGGCCGGCGCGCGGGAGCGUAUAUGAAGGGAGGGGGGAGGUGGGUGGAGGGGGCGGAAGUCGUGGGGCGCGGGCAACGGCGUGCGACGGCGAGAGGGAGAGGGGGAGGAGCCCAACCAACCGCGCAAACGGAACAAGAACCCGAGCCGAGCCGAGCCGAGCCGAGCAGGGGAAAGCAGAGGAGAGGAAGUUUCACUGUUGCCUCCCUCCGGGAGAGGGCGAGGCGACGAGGUCGUGGACGUGGACGCGACGCCGGUUGCGGUCCACGCGCGCGCCGGAUCCGGCCGGGAUGCGUCGGCGUGGACGAGGCCACGUGAGGUGAGGUGCGCCAACCGCCGUCCCUCCCGCUGUCAGUUGCCUCCUGCGGCACACGAGAGGAAAACGGCAGCCACCUACCCAACGACUGCCAUGCCCACGUC